Molecule: ribosomal RNA, 382 nt
Filed under: uncultured eukaryote
Lineage: Eukaryota
Description: SSU rRNA
Rfam family: Eukaryotic small subunit ribosomal RNA
Source: RNAcentral
AGCUCCAAUAGCGUAUAUUAAAGUUGUUGCAGUUAAAAAGCUCGUAGUUGGAUUUCUGGGUCAAGCUCCUGGUCCGCCGCAAUGCGGUGCAGACUGUGUGUAGCGUUGGCUCAUCCUUGUGGGAAAAGCAGUCGGGCGUUCAUUCGUCAGCUGUGGGAACCGCAUCAUUUACUGUGAAAAAAUUAGAGUGUUCAAAGCAGGCUUACGCUGUGAAUACAUUAGCAUGGAAUAAUAAGAUAGGACUUUGGUUCUAUUUUGUUGGUUGGAGGCCAAGGUAAUGAUUAAUAGGGAUAGUUGGGGGUAUUCAUAUUUAAUUGUCAGAGGUGAAAUUCUUGGAUUUAUGAAAGAUGAACUUAUGCGAAAGCAUUUACCAAGGAUGUUU